AUCUGCCAGCUUUUGAUCAUGAAUCAAAAGUCUUAGAGAUAUCUUUUUCUCAUCUGGAUAUUUUACAGCCCUGAAGAUUACUUGUAUUAAAGAGAGAGAGAAGAGAACAUGAACCUUGGUGACUGGUAAACUGGCCAAAACUUUUGGUCAACUCUUGGACUAAAUUAACCCAAUCAACUGAUGACCCUGCAACAUGUAAGCCCAACUCAAGGAACCGAAAAUAUUUGAAUCUAAUGCUAAUCAACCAGUCUUUUUAUUUUAAUUUUUAAAAGAUUUUUUUUUUUUUUGGCUGUGGUGUGUCUUCAUUGCCUUGUGCAGGCUUUCUCUAGUAGAGGUGAGUGGGGGGCACUCUUCACUGCGAUGUGCGGGCUUCUUACUG
Molecule: long non-coding RNA, 379 nt
Organism: Bos indicus x Bos taurus (hybrid cattle)
Lineage: Eukaryota; Metazoa; Chordata; Mammalia; Artiodactyla; Bovidae
Source: Ensembl